UACGUAGGGUGCAAGCGUUGUCCGGAAUUAUUGGGCGUAAAGAGCUCGUAGGCGGUUUGUUGCGUCGGCUGUGGCAAUCCCCGAGGCUCAACCUCGGGUCUGCAGUCGAUACGAGCAAACUAGAGUGUUGCAGGGGAGACUGGAAUUCCUGGUGUAGCGGUCGAAAUGCGCAGAGUAUCAGGAGGAACACCGGUGGCGAAGGCGGGUCUCUGGGCAACAACUGACGCUGGAGGAGCGAAAGCGUGGGGAGCGAACAGG
This 258-nucleotide ribosomal RNA is filed under the name uncultured bacterium. Its description in RNAcentral is "partial 16S ribosomal RNA". It matches the Rfam family "Bacterial small subunit ribosomal RNA", at positions 524 to 776 of the family's 1533-position model. The record is from RNAcentral.